Molecule: ribosomal RNA, 33 nt
Filed under: Trichomonas sp. RWG-2007-2
Lineage: Eukaryota; Parabasalia; Trichomonadida; Trichomonadidae
Description: partial 28S ribosomal RNA
Source: RNAcentral
CACGUAGUCUGCCAUACGCAGGAAGACCCGCUG